UGUUAUGACAUUGGACCUGAAUGUCCGACGUGGAAUGAAUGAUCACAAAGCUGGAGAAGAAACGCGUGUAUAAGGUGACAUUGACCGUGAUCUUUUAAGUCUGAACACCCCAGCAGUUUUUUUUCUGCUUCCACAGCGGAACAGGCGCCAAAACACACACUUUAACCUUCCUCUUGUGUUAGCUUACUGGUAUCAUCUUUUAUGUUAACGGGUCGGUUUUGACCCGUGUAUUAAAUCAGCUAUAAAAUACACAAAAAACAAUAAUUUACCUUCAAAUUUGCUUCUUAUCUCUUUGUUACCUUCUUAGGCUUCCUCAUCUAUGAAAAUAUUGGUUUUAAUACUUCCGGUGUGGGCAUUGUAGGCCUUUUUUUUGUGACUAUACCCCUCGAUUUGAACCGACCCUAACAAUACAGUGGUCAUAAUUUCAACCAGACCAUUUUAAAAAUGAUUUUUUGGGGUUUUAUUUUGUUGAAAUAUAGUGUCCUGACAAAGUCAAAAAGCCUUGAUGCAAUAAACAAAUGUUAUGUGAUUCUUUUUAUGCAUUGAAAUAGUAAAACGGGUCGGUGCCGACGCUGACACAAGAGGAAGGUUAAGCUAACUGUUUUCCAGUGCACAGCUGAAGUGUUUUUGCAGUAAUAAUUAACAGUGUAAACGCGAAUCACACUCGUAUCACAUCGUUUAGAGCACCUGGAUUAGUACCGCACCUCCUGGUUGUUUAAAGACAAGGUAAAAACCAUCCUGGAUAUGCCUUUGGGUGUCUACAUAUAAGGAGGUGACAAUGAAGCCCAUAGGUUCCAUUCACCUGCCCACGUGCCUUAAAGCCAUCGCCAUCCCUGCAAUGGAGCUGAUGUCGCGAUACGGAGGAUGAAGACUUUCAUGAGAUGACCUCUGAGGGGGACACAAACUGUUCAGUGUCCAGAAAUAAGAGAGUCCGACUGGUUGUGGAGGACCUGCGGGGUCUCACUGACAUGUUUUAACCGGACAGGUUGGAACAGAAAAAAAAAAAAUGGAAGGGAGUGAGUGGCAACACAAAUGAGGGGACCUAAUGUGAUGCAGGUGAUGGAACAACGGAGAGGAAAGAAACCGUCAUUCACAAUCCUUUUGGGCAUUCUAAAGAAUGAAGAACAGCUAGCACGAGGUAGCUAACAAUGCAUUUAAUGGGACACAUCUAUUCCACUUAUAAAGCCCUCUACAAAUAACGGCUACAAUGUUCCGUUUACAUCACGUGACAUGCAUAUUGAAAUACAAAUAGACUGUGUAGACAUUGAAAGGGGGAAGGAAAAUAAAUUACAU
Molecule: non-coding RNA, 1293 nt
Organism: Doryrhamphus excisus (bluestripe pipefish)
Lineage: Eukaryota; Metazoa; Chordata; Actinopteri; Syngnathiformes; Syngnathidae
Source: RefSeq, a predicted model, not a curated record